This 468-nucleotide ribosomal RNA is filed under the name uncultured bacterium. RNAcentral's name for it is "partial 16S ribosomal RNA". It matches the Rfam family "Bacterial small subunit ribosomal RNA", at positions 28 to 507 of the family's 1533-position model. The record is from RNAcentral.
GACGAACGCUGGCGGCGUGCUUAACACAUGCAAGUCGAACGGAAAGGCCCUGCUUUUGUGGGGUGCUCGAGUGGCGAACGGGUGAGUAACACGUGAGUAACCUGCCCUUGACUUUGGGAUAACUUCAGGAAACUGGGGCUAAUACCGGAUAGGAGCUCCUGCUGCAUGGUGGGGGUUGGAAAGUUUCGGCGGUUGGGGAUGGACUCGCGGCUUAUCAGUUUGUUGGUGGGGUAGUGGCUUACCAAGGCUUUGACGGGUAGCCGGCCUGAGAGGGUGACCGGCCACAUUGGGACUGAGAUACGGCCCAGACUCCUACGGUAGGCAGCAGUGGGGAAUAUUGCACAAUGGGCGGAAGCCUGAUGCAGCAACGCCGCGUGCGGGAUGACGGCCUUCGGGUUGUAAACCGCUUUCGCCUGUGACGAAGCGUGAGUGACGGUAAUGGGUAAAGAAGCACCGGCUAACUACGUG